RNAcentral lists this ribosomal RNA (253 nucleotides) under uncultured bacterium. RNAcentral describes it as "partial 16S ribosomal RNA". It matches the Rfam family "Bacterial small subunit ribosomal RNA", at positions 524 to 776 of the family's 1533-position model. The record is from RNAcentral.
UACGUAGGGACCGAGCGUUGUCCGGAAUCAUUGGGCGUAAAGAGCGUGUAGGCGGCUCGCUAAGUCUUGCGUGAAAUCUCGGGGCUCAACCCCGAGCGGUCGUGAGAAACUGGCGGGCUAGAGUGCGGGAGAGGAGAGUGGAAUUCCUGGUGUAGCGGUGAAAUGCGCAGAUAUCAGGAAGAACACCUAUGGCGAAGGCAGCUCUCUGGGACGGUACUGACGCUGAGGCGCGAAAGCGUGGGGAGCGAACAGG